GGGGGGGGCAAGCGUUGUUCGGAAUUACUGGGCGUAAAGGGUUCGUAGGUGGCCUGCUAAGUCAGACGUGAAAUCCCUCAGCUUAACUGGGGAACUGCGUCUGAGACUGGCGGGCUUGAGUGCAGGAGAGGAACGCGGAAUUCCAGGUGUAGCGGUGAAAUGCGUAGAUAUCUGGAGGAACACCGGUGGCGAAGGCGGCGUUCUGGACUGCUACUGACACUGAGGAACGAAAGCCAGGGGAGCAAACGGGAUUAGAUACCCCGGUAGUCCUGGCCCUAAACGAUGAAUGCUUGGUGUGGCGGGUAUCGAUCCCUGCCGUGCCGCAGUUAACGCGUUAAGCAUUCCGCCUGGGGAGUACGGUCGCAAGGCUGAA
Molecule: ribosomal RNA, 373 nt
Filed under: uncultured bacterium
Lineage: Bacteria
Description: bacterial SSU rRNA
Rfam family: Bacterial small subunit ribosomal RNA
Source: RNAcentral